This 220-nucleotide long non-coding RNA is filed under the name Hordeum vulgare. RNAcentral describes it as "long non-coding RNA (HVUL_LNC011094)". Lineage: Eukaryota; Viridiplantae; Streptophyta; Magnoliopsida; Poales; Poaceae. The record is from RNAcentral.
GAUGUAAAUAUAUUAUCUAAUGGAGGUGAUCGACUAGUGAAAGUCAUCGAAUACGUCGUUUGAUGCAUAUUCGAUCAUCAUAUUCUCCGUGUCCUUGGAGUCAUGUGGUAGAUGGAAUUUCUCGGUGUUGCUUGGUUCUUCUUGAACAUCUUGCGAACAUCCAGCUUCCAUGUUAUUACCAGGUUGAAGAUUGAAGUGGGCUUCAUAUCUUGCUCCUUGG